GCCUCUGAACACCCACAGGUGUUUUCAGUUAUUCUGGGUGAUAAGACUAUUUUCAGGUUGAAGGCGCAACAACACUUAACAGUGGACUCAGGAAGAUGUCAAUCACUCAGUCUAACCACACCCACACGUCCUGGAAAAGGUCCAAUCAGCCACAUUAACUAUAAACACCUGUAAAGGGAUCAUAG
Long non-coding RNA from Etheostoma spectabile (orangethroat darter), 185 nucleotides. RefSeq lists it as uncharacterized. Lineage: Eukaryota; Metazoa; Chordata; Actinopteri; Perciformes; Percidae. The record is from RefSeq and is a predicted model, not a curated record. The transcript is spliced from 3 exons.